GUUAGGGUCAGGAGAGAACCUACAGAGGAUGGGUUAGGGUCAGGAGGAACCUACAGUGGAUGGGUUAGGGUUAGGGUCAGGAGAGAACCUACAGAGGAUGGCUCCACCUCUCUAGGAGGAUCUGUGGAUAACCAUGGCAACAGGACCCAUUCCAUUAGGACCCAUAGCAACAGGAUCCAUGGCAACAGGACCCAGUGGAGCAGAAAGUAAAGUCUGAACACAUUUGAAUAAAACUCUUUUUUUUUUUUACAAUAGGGCAAUCUAUGAAGUAAACCGAGGGAUUCAUGUGUUGAUGCAGCAUAAGUUUUGAUAACAUUUGUGUCGAUG
Gadus macrocephalus (Pacific cod) is the source of this 327-nucleotide long non-coding RNA. RefSeq lists it as uncharacterized. The record is from RefSeq and is a predicted model, not a curated record. Lineage: Eukaryota; Metazoa; Chordata; Actinopteri; Gadiformes; Gadidae. The transcript has 2 exons.